GACGAACGCUGGCGGCGUGCUUAACACAUGCAAGUCGAACGGUGAAAGCGGAGCUUGCUCCGCUGGAUCAGUGGCGAACGGGUGAGUAACACGUGGGCAACCUGCCCCGCACUUCGGGAUAACUCCGGGAAACCGGGGCUAAUACCGGAUCUGCCCUCCUUGGGCAUCCUCGGCGGUGGAAAGUUUUUCGGUGAGGGAUGGGCCCGCAGCCUAUGAGCUUGUUGGUGCGGUAGUGGCCCACCAAGGCGACGACGGGUAGCCGGCCUGAGAGGCCGACCGGACACACUGGGACUGAAAAACGGCCCAGCCUCCUACGGGAGGCAGCAGUGGGGAAUAUUGCGCAAUGGGCGAAAGCCUGACGCAGCACCGCCGCGUGCGGGAUGACGGCCUUCGGGUUGUAAACCGCGUUCAGCAGGGAAGAAGCCGCAAGGUCACGGUACCUGCAGAAGAAGCACCGGCUAACUACGUGCCAGCCGCCGCGGUAA
RNAcentral lists this ribosomal RNA (485 nucleotides) under uncultured bacterium. RNAcentral describes it as "partial 16S ribosomal RNA". It matches the Rfam family "Bacterial small subunit ribosomal RNA", at positions 28 to 523 of the family's 1533-position model. The record is from RNAcentral.